UCAGCGGUCAUGGAGAGUCUCCAUCCAGCUGGAUCACUGUCACAGACAAACACACCACCACACCUCCACCUACAUCCACACCUCCACCUACAUCCACACCUCCUCCUGGUUCCACCUCCAUCACUCUUCCUCCUGUUCUCUCUGUGUUGUCAUGUGUUGGAUCAGUCUGUGUUGUGGUUCUACUGGUGUUACUGGUUCUGCUGGUGAGACGAUGUGUUCACAGAAAACCUGAAGCUAUACAACAAGAAGCUGCAAAUGAUAAUUUCACAGACAUCACAUAUAGUGACAUCAAAUCAUCACAUCAUCAGCAAAGGGCAAUCAAACACCUCAGAGACAUUGAUACAGCUGUGGUGUACUCAACAGUGAGAACUGAAGAUGUCACUUAUGGACAAAUAGCCAUCAAACCAAAGAAGACCAGAGGAAACAAGCAUGAUACAGGAAACAGCAAAGGCAUCAUUUGAUACUGUGAACUGCACAGCAGAGCUUCAGUGCAGGAUGUGUCUGUUUGAGACUGAAACACUUUAUGUCCUUGGACACUCAGAACCCAACCAGCAGCAGGUGACAUGGUGCAAAUGUUCAUUUUAAUGAAGUGUUUAAUCUUGUAAUCUUCUUCUCAUUUUGUAAUGUAAUGUAAUGUUCUGUAAUGGCAUAGACUCAACCACAGGUCACCUUGCAAUAGCCACAUAUCAGGUGUGGUCAAACCUGUGUCAUGAGUGAGAAACAAGUUUCAAACUGAUUCAGAUUAGGCCCAUUUUGUCUUGGUACUCCCUUUUAUUAGCAAGAUGAAUUUCUAUUUAAUAUGAGGUCGAUUAAAAAAAACCCAAAAAAAACAAAAACAGACUGAAUGUAUCAAAUGUUAUUUUUUGAUAUUUAAUUUUGUCUUCUCUAGAGUCCUGAAUGUAAAACCAAAGCAGCAACUUCACUACAGUGUUUUCUAUUUUGGUUAAUAAUAGCUUUCAUGCUGUGAGAACAUGUUUGCUUUGUGCUUUGUGGUGAAGUGCAUCAGUUUGUAGAAACGGAAAAUAAAAGCUCUGUGGUCG
Molecule: long non-coding RNA, 1040 nt
Organism: Oreochromis aureus
Lineage: Eukaryota; Metazoa; Chordata; Actinopteri; Cichliformes; Cichlidae
Source: Ensembl